This 116-nucleotide ribosomal RNA is filed under the name Klebsiella pneumoniae. Lineage: Bacteria; Pseudomonadati; Pseudomonadota; Gammaproteobacteria; Enterobacterales; Enterobacteriaceae. The record is from RNAcentral.
CCUGGCGGCACUAGCGCGGUGGUCCCACCUGACCCCAUGCCGAACUCAGAAGUGAAACGCCGUAGCGCCGAUGGUAGUGUGGGGUCUCCCCAUGUGAAAGUAGGGAACUGCCAGGC